CAGAUCCACCGAAUUCCAAAGGGACCAGCCAGAAGCCGUCCUCUGGCCCAGAGGGAGAGACAUGCUCAGUGAAGGGGCUCCCGUCAAAGGACGAGUGUGAGAAGAUGAUCAACAGUGCCCAAGUGUUGAUCCUUGGGCAGAACAACCUGAGAAACUCCCAGGAGCAAGAGACCUACCUCCGUCAGGUGCGUCAGAUGCUGAUGGAACAGCUCCCCUGCAAGCACGUCCUGUCCAACAGUAAACACGACAAUGAGGGAGGGAAGUGAGGAGGAAGGUGUCAGAUUGUGGUCUUCCAACGUAUCACAGGAUGAUGGACAGUGGUGAUGUGUGUGAGGGGUGGACUGGGGCACGAGGAAAUCUAAAUGUUGGUAAAAUAUCUGCAUUAGCAUGUAUCUGGUUGUUCUUCUGUUAUCUCUGUAGCUUAUUAACAAACAAGUUACGCUUCUGUUAGUUACCGAUUUGAAUUAUUUCUCAAUUCAAUGUAAUAAUGGCUUUAAUCCAAGUAAUGAAAGACACAUUAGUGUUCCUGUAAUGUGGCUCCGAUUAUUUCUGUAUUUCUUAUGCAUCCAAUGAUAUUGUGUUACUGGAGGAUGUACCACUGUUUUACUUCUACACUGAUCAGUUAUUAAAAUUAAUACA
Long non-coding RNA from Mobula hypostoma (lesser devil ray), 639 nucleotides. RefSeq lists it as uncharacterized. The record is from RefSeq and is a predicted model, not a curated record. The transcript is spliced from 3 exons. NCBI's taxonomy places the organism in Eukaryota, Metazoa, Chordata, Chondrichthyes, Myliobatiformes, Myliobatidae.